GACGAACGCUGGCGGCGUGCUUAACACAUGCAAGUCGAACGGAAAGGCCCUGCUUGUUUGGGGUGCUCGAGUGGCGAACGGGUGAGUAACACGUGAGUAACCUGCCCUUGACUUUGGGAUAACUUCAGGAAACUGGGGCUAAUACCGGAUAGGAGCUCCUGCUGCAUGGUGGGGGGUGGAAAGUUUCGGCGGGUGGGGAUGGAUGCGCGGCUUAUCAACUUGUUGGUUGGGGAGUGGCUUACCAAGGCUUUGACGGGUAGCCGGCCUGAGAGGGUGACCGGGCACAUUGGGCCUGCGAUACGGCCCAGACUCCUACGGGAGGCAGCAGUGGGGAAUAUUGCACAAUGGGCGGAAGUCUGAUGAAGCAACGCCGCGUGUGGGAUGACGGCCUUCGGGUUGUAAACCGCUUUCGCCUGUGACGAAGCGUGAGUGACGGUAAUGGGUAAAGAAGCACCGGCUAACUACGUG
This 468-nucleotide ribosomal RNA is filed under the name uncultured bacterium. Its description in RNAcentral is "partial 16S ribosomal RNA". It matches the Rfam family "Bacterial small subunit ribosomal RNA", at positions 28 to 507 of the family's 1533-position model. The record is from RNAcentral.